This 240-nucleotide ribosomal RNA is filed under the name bacterium enrichment culture clone ALO1_GLFRUDD03G4GPM. RNAcentral describes it as "partial 16S ribosomal RNA". It matches the Rfam family "Bacterial small subunit ribosomal RNA", at positions 9 to 250 of the family's 1533-position model. The record is from RNAcentral.
GAGUUUGAUCCUGGCUCAGAUUGAACGCUGGCGGCAUGCCUUACACAUGCAAGUCGAACGGCAGCACGGGAGCUUGCUCCUGGUGGCGAGUGGCGAACGGGUGAGUAAUGCAUCGGAACGUAUCCUGGAGUGGGGAUAACGUAGCGAAAGUUACGCUAAUACCGCAUAUUCUGUGAGCAGGAAAGCGGGGGACCUUCGGGCCUCGCGCUCUUGGAGCGGCCGAUGUCGGAUUAGCUAGUU